This 497-nucleotide ribosomal RNA is filed under the name uncultured bacterium. RNAcentral's name for it is "partial 16S ribosomal RNA". It matches the Rfam family "Bacterial small subunit ribosomal RNA", at positions 28 to 507 of the family's 1533-position model. The record is from RNAcentral.
GAUGAACGCUGGCGGCGUGCCUAAUACAUGCAAGUCGAGCGAACGGACGAGAAGCUUGCUUCUCUGAUGUUAGCGGCGGACGGGUGAGUAACACGUGGAUAACCUACCUAUAAGACUGGGAUAACUUCGGGAAACCGUAGCUAAUACCGGAUAAUAUUUUGAACCGCAUGGUUCAAAAGUGAAAGACGGUCUUGCUGUCACUUAUAGAUGGAUCCCCGCUGCAUUAGCUAGUUGGUAAGGUAACGGCUUACCAAGGCAACGAUGCAUAGCCGACCUGAGAGGGUGAUCGGCCACACUGGAACUGAGACACGGUCCAGACUCCUACGGGAGGCAGCAGUAGGGAAUCUUCCGCAAUGGGCGAAAGCCUGACGGAGCAACGCCGCGUGAGUGAUGAAGGUCUUCGGAUCGUAAAACUCUGUUAUUAGGGAAGAACAUAUGUGUAAGUAACUGUGCACAUCUUGACGGUACCUAAUCAGAAAGCCACGGCUAACUACGUG